RNAcentral lists this long non-coding RNA (199 nucleotides) under Elaeis guineensis (African oil palm). RNAcentral's name for it is "long non-coding RNA (EGUI_LNC020424)". The record is from RNAcentral. Lineage: Eukaryota; Viridiplantae; Streptophyta; Magnoliopsida; Arecales; Arecaceae.
CCAGGAAGAGCCAUGUGUUUAUAAGAAGGUUAGUAGGAGUAUUGUUAUAUUACUCAUAUUGUAUAUGAAUGACAUUCUUCUGAUUGAGAAUAAUAUUUUUAUAUUAACUUCGAUUAAGAUAUAUAUGAUUGUCUAAAAAAUUCUCCAUAAAAGAUCUUUGGAGAGCAUCCUACAUUUUGAUAAUAAAAAUCUAUAGAGA